UGGGGAAUUUUGGACAAUGGGCGAAAGCCUGAUCCAGCAAUGCCGCGUGUGUGAAGAAGGCCUUCGGGUUGUAAAGCACUUUUGUCCGGAAAGAAAUCCUUGGCUCUAAUACAGUCGGGGGAUGACGGUACCGGAAGAAUAAGCACCGGCUAACUACGUGCCAGCAGCCGCGGUAAUACGUAGGGUGCAAGCGUUAAUCGGAAUUACUGGGCGUAAAGCGUGCGCAGGCGGUUUGCUAAGACCGAUGUGAAAUCCCCGGGCUCAACCUGGGAACUGCAUUGGUGACUGGCAGGCUAGAGUAUGGCAGAGGGGGGUAGAAUUCCACGUGUAGCAGUGAAAUGCGUAGAGAUGUGGAGGAAUACCGAUGGUGAAGGCAGCCCCCUGGGCCAAUACUGACGCUCAUGCACGAAAGCGUGGGGGAGCAAAACAGGAUUAGAUACCCUGGUAGUCCACGCCCUAAAACGAUGUCAACUAGUUGUUGGGGAUUCAUUUCCUUAGUAACGUAGCUAACGCGUGAAGUUGACCGCCUGGGGAGUACGGUCGCAAGAUUAAAACUCAAAGGAAUUGACGGGGUCAUAGCUGUUUCCU
Molecule: ribosomal RNA, 588 nt
Filed under: uncultured bacterium
Lineage: Bacteria
Description: partial 16S ribosomal RNA
Rfam family: Bacterial small subunit ribosomal RNA
Source: RNAcentral